UUAUUACGAGAAAGUUACAUUUACAUGGAGCACCUUGUACCUAUUCUCCAAAAGAAACCAUCCAAGAGUUAUGUUUCUCUCUUCUUAAUUUCAUUACAUGAACAAAGUCUCUUACAUGACUCCAAUGACAAUCUCCGAGUCCUAGCACACAACAUGACUAACUAAUACCGACACAGCAAAAUUGCAUGCUAUUUUCGUGAUAAGUACCAUGUACGAACGUAGAACCCCGGGUACAUCUUUGUAGACCCAUGUAUCCAUUGAAUAAAAUAGCAUGACAAAAGAGAGCA
This 287-nucleotide long non-coding RNA is filed under the name Elaeis guineensis (African oil palm). Its description in RNAcentral is "long non-coding RNA (EGUI_LNC006428)". Lineage: Eukaryota; Viridiplantae; Streptophyta; Magnoliopsida; Arecales; Arecaceae. The record is from RNAcentral.